RNAcentral lists this transfer RNA (72 nucleotides) under Cronartium ribicola 11-2. Its description in RNAcentral is "tRNA-Sup (CTA) (multiple tRNAs)". It matches the Rfam family "tRNA". From Rfam's summary of the family: Transfer RNA (tRNA) molecules are approximately 80 nucleotides in length. Their secondary structure includes four short double-helical elements and three loops (D, anti-codon, and T loops). Further hydrogen bonds mediate the characteristic L-shaped molecular structure. tRNAs have two regions of fundamental functional importance: the anti-codon, which is responsible for specific mRNA codon recognition, and the 3' end, to which the tRNAs corresponding amino acid is attached (by aminoacyl-tRNA synthetases). tRNAs cope with the degeneracy of the genetic code in two manners: having more than one tRNA (with a specific anti-codon) for a particular amino acid; and 'wobble' base-pairing, i.e. permitting non-standard base-pairing at the 3rd anti-codon position. Lineage: Eukaryota; Fungi; Basidiomycota; Pucciniomycetes; Pucciniales; Coleosporiaceae. The record is from RNAcentral.
GUGUCUGUAGCCUAGUGGUAAAAGGCAGCACUCUAGAUGCUGAGGUUGUGGGUUCAAAUCCCACCAGACACA